This 363-nucleotide unclassified non-coding RNA is filed under the name uncultured bacterium. Its description in RNAcentral is "contains 16S-23S intergenic spacer region". The record is from RNAcentral.
UCCCUGUUACCAGGGCAGUCUAGCUAGAAAAAUACAACUAACUACAAGGGUUGCGCUCGUUGAUGGACUUAACCAAACAUCUCACGACACGAGCUGACGACGGCCAUGCAUCACCUGUCACUUGGCUCCCGAAGGCACCAUAUUCUUUCGAAUGCGUUCCAAGGAUGUCAAGCCUGGGUAAGGUUCUUCGCUUACCAUCGAAUUAAACAACACGCUCCACCGCUUGUGCGGGUCCCCGUCAAUUCCUUUAUGUUUUAGUCUUGCGACCGUACUCCACAGGCGGGAUGCUUAACGCGUUAGCUUCGCUACUAGAAGGGUCGAUACUUCUAACAGCUAGCAUCCAUAGUUUACGGCGUGGACUAC